CCUAGAACUUAAAUGUAUUCCCGCAUUAUACUGGUGGGCGACCUAGAACUUAAAUGUAUUCCCGCAUUAUACUGGUGGGUGACCUAGAACUUAAAUGUAUUCCCGCAUUAUACUGGUGGGCGACCUAGAACUUAAAUGUAUUCCCGCAUUAUACUGGUGGGCGACCUAGAACUUAAAUGUAUUUGAAAUUGUUUCCCCGUUCUUCCGAGAAAUUUUUGACAAUCGGCAGUAAAUUUCAGCCCCGGUUUUUGGUGACUUCCCUGGCGUUGCAUCUUGCUGCCAUCAUCAAUCCUUUGUUUUCCUGCAGCAAACAAAAGGAUUUAAUUAGUUUUCAUCGUGGUGGUAGAGGGUGCCUUUCUGGCGGAUGAUUUUUCCUGUCUU
This 381-nucleotide long non-coding RNA is filed under the name Nicotiana tabacum (common tobacco). Its description in RNAcentral is "long non-coding RNA (NTAB_LNC000311)". Lineage: Eukaryota; Viridiplantae; Streptophyta; Magnoliopsida; Solanales; Solanaceae. The record is from RNAcentral.